Long non-coding RNA from Phodopus roborovskii (desert hamster), 156 nucleotides. RefSeq lists it as uncharacterized. The transcript is spliced from 3 exons. The record is from RefSeq and is a predicted model, not a curated record. Lineage: Eukaryota; Metazoa; Chordata; Mammalia; Rodentia; Cricetidae.
CAGAAAUCAUUACAUCGGCUGGAGGAAAUACAGGUUCAGAGAGUUCUAUUUCAGGAGUCCCCACUGAAGCACAAGAUAGCCAAAGCACAGGAGGGAAAACAGAUUCCACUUCAGUAGCAGCUGAAGUCACAACCAGUGCCCACAUACCCCAGCCAG